This 465-nucleotide ribosomal RNA is filed under the name Vreelandella stevensii. RNAcentral describes it as "partial 16S ribosomal RNA". It matches the Rfam family "Bacterial small subunit ribosomal RNA", at positions 338 to 795 of the family's 1533-position model. Lineage: Bacteria; Pseudomonadati; Pseudomonadota; Gammaproteobacteria; Oceanospirillales; Halomonadaceae. The record is from RNAcentral.
CCUACGGGGGGCAGCAGUGGGGAAUAUUGGACAAUGGGGGGAACCCUGAUCCAGCCAUGCCGCGUGUGUGAAGAAGGCCCUCGGGUUGUAAAGCACUUUCAGUGAGGAAGAACGCCUGGUGGUUAAUACCCAUCAGGAAAGACAUCACUCACAGAAGAAGCACCGGCUAACUCCGUGCCAGCAGCCGCGGUAAUACGGAGGGUGCGAGCGUUAAUCGGAAUUACUGGGCGUAAAGCGCGCGUAGGUGGCUUGAUAAGCCGGUUGUGAAAGCCCCGGGCUCAACCUGGGAACGGCAUCCGGAACUGUCAAGCUAGAGUGCAGGAGAGGAAGGUAGAAUUCCCGGUGUAGCGGUGAAAUGCGUAGAGAUCGGGAGGAAUACCAGUGGCGAAGGCGGCCUUCUGGACUGACACUGCCACUGAGGUGCGAAAGCGUGGGUAGCAAACAGGAUUAGAUACCCUUGUAGUC